RNAcentral lists this ribosomal RNA (403 nucleotides) under uncultured bacterium. Its description in RNAcentral is "bacterial SSU rRNA". It matches the Rfam family "Bacterial small subunit ribosomal RNA", at positions 355 to 776 of the family's 1533-position model. The record is from RNAcentral.
UGGGGAAUAUUGCGCAAUGGGGGAAACCCUGACGCAGCGAUGCCUCGUGAGCGACGAAGUCUUUCGGGAUGUAAAGCUCUGUCAAGAAGAACGAUAGUGACGGUACUUCUAGAGGAAGCCCCGGCUAACUACGUGCCAGCAGCCGCGGUAAUACGUAGGGGGCGAGCGUUAUCCGGAUUUAUUGGGCAUAAAGGGCAUGUAGGCGGUAAUUUAAGUCAGACGUGAAACACAACGGCCUAACCGUUGGUGGCAUUUGAUACUGAAUUACUAGAGAUCAGGAGAGGAAAGUGGAACUCAUGGUGUAGCGGUGAAAUGCGUAGAUAUCAUGAGGAACACCAGUGGCGAAGGCGGCUUUCUGGACUGAUUCUGACGCUGAGAUGCGAAAGCGUGGGGAGCAAACAGG